This 87-nucleotide transfer RNA is filed under the name archaeon GW2011_AR15. RNAcentral's name for it is "tRNA-Ser". It matches the Rfam family "tRNA". Rfam says of the family: Transfer RNA (tRNA) molecules are approximately 80 nucleotides in length. The record is from RNAcentral. RNAcentral also lists the same sequence under 1 other name.
GCCGCGGUCGCAUAGCCCGGCCAUUGCGAUGGAUUGCUAAUCCAUUGUCCUUUUUGGGACACGUGAGUUCAAAUCUCACCCGCGGCG